CAGGACACCUGUGCUGGUUCUCUCUUCCUGCCCUCCUCACAGAGCAGUCUGGAGUUGAUGACAGGAAAAUGUGGAGGUCCUGGAGUCUUCUUGUUCAGGCUCAGGUGAACCAGCCAUGAAUGUCCCCAAACCGACACCACACUGCAAUUCUGGUCAUUGAAGUUCCCCAAGAGACUUCAGGAACUCCUGACAUUCCCUGGUUCUCAGAAAUUUGGUGAGUUUUAUAAUCCCAAACGAAGAUCCUACACCAAAACUGUUAUUUCAUCUCCUAGGAAAAUUAAUCAGUGUCUUCCAUCAGCUCCUACAAGCUCCAUCUGUCAUGUCUUCAGUAGCCCUCCAGAAAACAUUGGAAAGCACAUCUACACGUUUCCUUCAAAACUCAAACCUAACGGUUGAUUAAAAAAAGGGAAAAAAAGGAGAGUUUGCAGACAAAGA
Prinia subflava (tawny-flanked prinia) is the source of this 435-nucleotide long non-coding RNA. RefSeq lists it as uncharacterized. Lineage: Eukaryota; Metazoa; Chordata; Aves; Passeriformes; Cisticolidae. The record is from RefSeq and is a predicted model, not a curated record. The transcript has 3 exons.